UUUAAAUUACAAAAUACAAAUAAUAUAGUUACAAUUAACCUUGAUACAAAAACAAGAAUGCACUGCGCCGAAUGUACGAAAUUAGCACGUACGUUUACCCACAAACAAAUGAGUGGGACAGAGGUCGUUGUUUUGUUUCCCUUGAUACGGUAAUCAGUGCGACACUGAAAAGUGGCAAGUUUUCAAGAAACUAGAAAGCCUGUUUCUGACAAACAAUGUACAAGUACAUUAGAAGGGGUGUGUGGACCAGGACAGAGUUGUUAUCAAGAGGUGCAUGGAAUGAUACACACAGUGAAUGCAGAAGGAAAAGUAUAUGCUUUUCUCCAAUACACACAUGGAGGACACAGAACCUCAUCGCACAGCUAUUCACAAGGACAUUGCUGAGGAGAAACCCUCAUACUUCCAAGUGUUUUAUUAGUAGCUACGUACGAAGCAGACAGCUGCCCAAUUCCUUUCCAGUUUUAGAUGGAGCUAUCCAGCCAAUUCACAGACACGUGUAUGAAGCAAAUUUCCGCAACAGUACUUCUUGUCAUGCAAGGUACUCUGAGUGCAUGGAGAAAGUGAGGAAGGGAGGAGGGGACAAUGCAGUCCUCCGCCACACGCAGAGGAACAAGAAACUGCUUGUCUGGGACAGACUCCGGCAGCUCCUGGAUGGAGAGGAUUUCCUCGAGCUGUCUCCCUUCGCUGGGCUGGGGAUGCCCUAUGGGGAUGUACCCUCGGCAGGUUGUGUCACGGGUGUAGGUAAGAUCAGUGGGCUGUGGUGUGUGUUUAUUGCCAAUGAUGCUACAGUGAAAGGAGGGACUGCCUAUCCAAUCACAGUGAAGAAGCAGCUGAGAGCCCAGGAUGUUGCCAUCCAGAACCACCUGCCCUGUGUGUACCUGGUAGACAGCGGGGGAGGCUUCCUUCCACUUCAGGCUGAGCUUUUUCCAGACAGGAACCACGGAGGAAGAACAUUUUACAACGAAGCCAUAAUGUCAGCCAUGAAAAUCCCUCAGGUGGCGGUAGUGUGUGGUUCUUGCACAGCGGGAGGUGCCUAUAUCCCCACUAUGGCAGAGGAGACUGUUAUGGUGGAGAGGAUCGGGACGAUAUUCCUUGGAGGACCUCCUCUUGUGAAAGCGGCUACAGGGGAGGAGGUGACUUCCGAGGAGCUCGGAGGAGCCAGGCUGCAUGCAGAAGUGAGUGGCUGUGUUGACCAUUUUUCUGCCAAGGAACAGGAGGCCUAUGAAUGUGCCAGAAACAUCAUUACGACGCUGAACUUUGAGCUGCCACUGGAAGACCUUUCAGAAGAACAAGACCCUCUGUACAGCUCCUCCGAGCUCCAUGGCCUGGCCCCCCGAGAUUACACACACACUCUGGACAUCAAGCUGAUUGUGAGCCGCCUCACAGAUGGAAGCCGGUUUCAGGAAUUCAAAGCCCUGUAUGGAACUACACUUGUGACCGGCUUUGCCAGAAUUGAAGGGCACUUAGUUGGUGUUGUGGCUAACAAUGGCGAGCUGACCUAUGAAGCUGCUCUGAAAGGCAGUCAUUUUGUGCAACUUUGUGACCAGCGUGGCAUCCCUUUGAUAUUCCUACAAAACACACCUCCAUACUCCGCAGUUACAGGAACCCUAUCUCAGGCAGAGAUCAACACUAAUAGACUGAAGGCCCAAGCCUCCAUGAUGUCAGCUGUAGCCUGUGCCUCCACCCCCAAGAUAACUGUGGUCAUCGGAGGCUGCUAUGGAGGGGAAAGCUAUGCAAUGUGCGGAAGAUCAUUCGAUCCCAAUUUCCUGUUCCUGUGGCCCAAUGCCAGGGUGGCUGCUGUGGGUCCUGAGCACUCAGAAGAGCUCUCACAGUGGGCAGAGCCUGAGGUUACACUGAAGGAAAAGAACCAGAUGAAGAAAAGGUUGGAGGAGGAGAGCUCAGCCUUCUAUUCCUCUGGGAGGGUCUGGGAUGAUGGAGUGAUCUUGCCGAAGGACACCAGAAAGACAGUAGAGCCUUCAUUGGACGAGCAUCAGCUUUCUGAAAUUCUCUAGCCAGCAAGUCCUGGAGGAAGCCUAGAAGGUGCCCAUGGCUAAUUCACUUCAUUUGGUACUGGACAAAUGUUUGAGGAUAAUUAAACAGCAGGACUACCAGCUCACAAAAGGAAUACAGAGCAGCCCUGUUCUUAGAAUGUAACAAGAAAACUGUUCAAUAAAGAUGAAGUACAAUCAGA
Molecule: RNA transcript, 2191 nt
Organism: Acipenser ruthenus (sterlet)
Lineage: Eukaryota; Metazoa; Chordata; Actinopteri; Acipenseriformes; Acipenseridae
Gene name: methylcrotonoyl-coenzyme A carboxylase 2
Exons: 15
Source: RefSeq, a predicted model, not a curated record